Mauremys reevesii (Reeves's turtle) is the source of this 772-nucleotide long non-coding RNA. RefSeq lists it as uncharacterized. The transcript has 4 exons. Lineage: Eukaryota; Metazoa; Chordata; Testudines; Geoemydidae. The record is from RefSeq and is a predicted model, not a curated record.
CCCUCCAACUGCAUGGGAGGAACUACCAGUGUCUCAAGGCUUGUAGGUCAAGCAGGCCUUGGACCAAAAGGACAGCACAAAUUGAUUAAAGCUCUUUUCUUGAGACAUUGGUGUCUUCCCAUGGUGGGGUCCAUCUAUGCCUCUUCAGCCCAGACCUUAUGUCUCCAGCUGUAUAUCCCUGACUCCUCGAUAGACAUCACCACGAAGCGACUGAAGCACUCAUCAAAGGGGCGAGCCUGGCUGAAGGGUAACCAGCCAGCCUGUGAUAAAGCACAAGAUGGGGUAUUAGUUGGUGUCUGCUACAAGACCAUCAAAUCACACUAAGGAAAGGAUGACCAGUUCCUUAUGCACCUAUCUAUAAAGUGCAGGAAAAAAAGCUAUGUGAUCCAGAGGGACUUCAGUUUGAGUGACACAUUCCAGAAGUCUCAUGCUGCUGGAGGAUAUUAAACAGAAACAACUGAAGUGAUACAUUUUUAAAUCAGCAGAUCCAGAUAACUUGCAUCCAAGAGUUUUAAAAGAGCUGGAUAAGAAGCUUGCUGGACCACUAUUGUUGAUUUUCAACAAGUCUUGGAACUCUAGGGAAGCCCCAGAAGACUGGAAGAAAGCUAAUAUGCCAAUAUUUAAAAAGGGUAAAUGGAAUGACCCACGUAACUACAGGCCUGUCAGUCUGACAUUGAUCCCAGUCAACAUAAUGGAGAGGCUGAUACGGGACUUGAUUAACAAAGAAUUAAAGGCCAAUCAACAUGGGUUUAUGGAAAAUAGGGUUUUUGGA